This 62-nucleotide transfer RNA is filed under the name Coryphella verrucosa. Its description in RNAcentral is "tRNA-Ser". Lineage: Eukaryota; Metazoa; Mollusca; Gastropoda; Nudibranchia; Coryphellidae. The record is from RNAcentral.
UAGAAAUAAUUAUUAAGUUUAAUCUGCUAAUUUAAACUUGGGAACGAGAUUUCCAUUUCUAU